AACUAUAAAUGACUAAAUCUCAUUCAUAUAAUUCAUCCAAGAGUAACUAUAUUGAUCCAAGCAUCAACUUGAUUACAAGAGACGAUAAAAUGCAUAGUUAAAACAUUCAAAAACUAUUACACUAGUGGCUAAACAUUCAAAACAACUAUAACAGUGUUAAAAUUGCAUAAAAAUAUCUAAGUAUCCCUUUAGUCAUGUUGCUCCAUUAUCCUCAAUGUCGUAGCUAGACUCGAAUGAAUGUCUAUUAGGGAUGCUCAAUGU
RNAcentral lists this long non-coding RNA (261 nucleotides) under Medicago truncatula (barrel medic). RNAcentral's name for it is "long non-coding RNA (MTRU_LNC004053)". The record is from RNAcentral. Lineage: Eukaryota; Viridiplantae; Streptophyta; Magnoliopsida; Fabales; Fabaceae.